UGGGGAAUAUUGGGCAAUGGGGGGAACCCUGACCCAGCAACGCCGCGUGAAGGAAGAAGGCCUUCGGGUUGUAAACUUCUUUGACAGGGGAAGAAGGAAGUGACGGUACCCUGAGAACAAGCUCCGGCUAACUACGUGCCAGCAGCCGCGGUAAUACGUAGGGAGCGAGCGUUAUCCGGAAUUACUGGGUGUAAAGGGCGCGUAGGCGGGCAGACAAGUCAGGUGUGAAAUGCAGGGGCUCAACCCCUGAUGUGCACUUGAAACUGUACGUCUUGAGUGAUGGGGAGGCAGGCGGAAUUCCCGGUGUAGCGGUGAAAUGCGUAGAUAUCGGGAGGAAAACCAGUGGCGAAGGCGGCCUGCUGGACAUCAACUGACGCUGAGGCGCGAAAGCGUGGGGAGCAAACAGG
Molecule: ribosomal RNA, 407 nt
Filed under: uncultured prokaryote
Also listed under: 1 other name
Description: bacterial SSU rRNA
Rfam family: Bacterial small subunit ribosomal RNA
Source: RNAcentral